RNAcentral lists this unclassified non-coding RNA (203 nucleotides) under Bombus terrestris (buff-tailed bumblebee). RNAcentral describes it as "misc RNA ENSBTSG00005037441.1". The record is from RNAcentral. Lineage: Eukaryota; Metazoa; Arthropoda; Insecta; Hymenoptera; Apidae.
UGGAUGCCACGCAAAAAAAACUGUCGCUUUUUUUAGGCAAACCAGUCAUCGAGCCAUUUUCGUACAUUUUCGUAAGAAGUGAAGUGCUGGUCAGAAAGUGCGUGUCCCAUCGAUGCAAAUAAAUAGUAAUCGGACGGAGCCAAGUCUGGCGUCCGCGACCGUUGCCACGCACGCCUUCUUCUCGAACAUUUGGCGGAAGGACC